This is a long non-coding RNA of Hemicordylus capensis (graceful crag lizard), 640 nucleotides long. RefSeq lists it as uncharacterized. NCBI's taxonomy places the organism in Eukaryota, Metazoa, Chordata, Lepidosauria, Squamata, Cordylidae. The transcript has 2 exons. The record is from RefSeq and is a predicted model, not a curated record.
GCCUGUUGAAGUCAAAGAGCAUGUCUGUUUGCAAACAGCUGUAACAUUGGUACAUCGUGAUGAAAACAACGAGCUGUCAUGCUGAGACGUAGUUUUGAAUUGGGACCAAAGUUGGAAGGUUGAAACCCCAACAUACACAAAAAGAGAAGAGGAGAGAAGCUAUAUGGAGAAACCCGAAAUAAGAGAAGAGAGAACUGUCCUUUUAAAAAUGAGAAAUGUACAUUCCUAUAUGUAGCUGAGCCGGUGCUGGCCACUCAUGCUCAAACCAGUAACAAAAUUUGAUUGAGGAGCAGCAGGAGAGGCACCUGGAAGAGGGUGGUAGUGGUGAAAAUAAAGACAGCUGAGCCAUCCUAAGAAUAAGCAAUUCCAUCUCUUCCUAAAACCAUCUACUUCCUAACAAGUUCCACUGGUUUCAAUAGCACGUCUUUCCAAACAACUGUGGAUAGGAUCGGGGCUUGACUGGGAAAUAGAUUCUACUGAAAACUAAGGCUUAUUUAUGAGAAUUCCUUCCCCAAACACAUUUAGUGCCUGAUUUUGAAUGCAUUUAUUCAAAAGUAAGCCCUACUGAGUUCAAUAGGAGAUACUUACUAUGUGAGUACACUGGCCACUAUAGCAGAUUAAUAAAGUUCUUUGGAUUUAA